This 253-nucleotide ribosomal RNA is filed under the name uncultured bacterium. Its description in RNAcentral is "partial 16S ribosomal RNA". It matches the Rfam family "Bacterial small subunit ribosomal RNA", at positions 524 to 776 of the family's 1533-position model. The record is from RNAcentral.
UACGGGGGGGGCAAGCGUUGUUCGGAAUUACUGGGCGUAAAGGGCUCGUAGGCGGCCAACUAAGUCGGAUGUGAAAUCCCCAGGCUUAACCUGGGAACUGCAUCCGAUACUGGAUGGCUUGAAUCCGGGAGAGGGAUGCAGAAUUCCAGGUGUAGCGGUGAAAUUCGUAGAUAUCAAGCGGAAUACCGGUGGCGAAGGCGGCCUUCUGGACGGUGACUGACGCUGAGACGCGAAAGCGUGGGGAGCAAACAGG